This is a long non-coding RNA of Mauremys reevesii (Reeves's turtle), 794 nucleotides long. RefSeq lists it as uncharacterized. The transcript has 3 exons. The record is from RefSeq and is a predicted model, not a curated record. NCBI's taxonomy places the organism in Eukaryota, Metazoa, Chordata, Testudines, Geoemydidae.
GGUUAUUUACCAGUUCAAGGGCUGCCUCUGCUAAUCUACACACAGUGGACUCAAAAAUGCCUACAUCAGUGUUCUGUAACUUUCUGUGCCUCACAGGUGAAGGUGGAUGAGGAGUGUGACUGCUAAGACAACCCUCAAAGAACUACACUUACUGGUAAAAUAACCACUUCCUCUUUGACGAGUCUCUGAAUACAUGUACAUUCAUGGAGACUGCUGAAACCUUGUCCGUCGGCGCAUCCUCCACACCAGGACAGAGACUUUCCCAGAUUACAAGGCAGAAAAAGACGACUCGGGAGGACAUGUUCAAUGAGUUAAUGUGCGCCUCAGAGUGACAAGACAGAGCUCAGAGCAUGGACGAUUACACUGUCUGAGAACCUGGACGUGGACAGAGAGGACAGGAGAGCAUGCAGGGAACAAGAGCGUGUCACGCAGAAAGAGAUGCUGCAGAUUAAGACGGAGCAAUCAGACAUGUUAAGGCUCAAGAAAGGCAGAUGGAUGCUAGAGUGCCUAUGCUGCCAUCAGCACCCAGGUCUACAUCCUCCUCCCCCAACCGUCCUAUGAGGCGGGAGAGGUGGGGAGUUUGGUAUCCGUGGCACUCAACACCAGGGGAGGGUACAAGGACCAGGAGGCGCCCAUUCCCACACCUUUGAUGGUUAUUGCAGUGCAUCUGUAAGCAAGCUUUCCUUGUCCCCCUCCCCAUGCCCCCCCAGUGCUAUCAGCCCUUUUGUCCCAGGUUAUCUUACUUUUCUUAGCUGUCUCUAGGUGUUUGUGUGCAUAAUAAAACUUAACGGAUU